AAAAGCUAUGACCAUACAAUCUUUUAAUUGUUGUUCAGUGUAAAAGAGUUCAAUAUAGAGUAUUAUACAGCAAAAUUGUUUUACUUCUACUCAAAUAAAUAGAGGCAAAGGUUUCUACAAUGCCAAAAAAAGGAUUGCUCAUUGUUAGUCAAAAUUCUAUCAACAUUCUAUUCUAACAGCACCACUUUGAGAUGAAAUAAAUUUGGGUUUUCUAUUGACUUGCUCCAAG
This 229-nucleotide unclassified non-coding RNA is filed under the name Hevea brasiliensis (rubber tree). The record is from RNAcentral. Lineage: Eukaryota; Viridiplantae; Streptophyta; Magnoliopsida; Malpighiales; Euphorbiaceae.